RNAcentral lists this transfer RNA (76 nucleotides) under Quinella sp. 1Q5. RNAcentral's name for it is "tRNA-Arg". It matches the Rfam family "tRNA". Rfam says of the family: Transfer RNA (tRNA) molecules are approximately 80 nucleotides in length. Their secondary structure includes four short double-helical elements and three loops (D, anti-codon, and T loops). Further hydrogen bonds mediate the characteristic L-shaped molecular structure. tRNAs have two regions of fundamental functional importance: the anti-codon, which is responsible for specific mRNA codon recognition, and the 3' end, to which the tRNAs corresponding amino acid is attached (by aminoacyl-tRNA synthetases). tRNAs cope with the degeneracy of the genetic code in two manners: having more than one tRNA (with a specific anti-codon) for a particular amino acid; and 'wobble' base-pairing, i.e. permitting non-standard base-pairing at the 3rd anti-codon position. Lineage: Bacteria; Bacillati; Bacillota; Negativicutes; Veillonellales; Veillonellaceae. The record is from RNAcentral.
GUGCUCGUAGUCGAGUGGAUAAGACGUUAGCCUCCGGAGCUAAAAAUCGCGGGUUCGACUCCCGCCGAGCACGCCA